Hipposideros armiger (great roundleaf bat) is the source of this 448-nucleotide long non-coding RNA. RefSeq lists it as uncharacterized. The record is from RefSeq and is a predicted model, not a curated record. The transcript is spliced from 4 exons. NCBI's taxonomy places the organism in Eukaryota, Metazoa, Chordata, Mammalia, Chiroptera, Hipposideridae.
CGAGGCUUUUGACAAUAGUGCUUCUCAGUCUCCGCGCCCACUCCUCCCUGCGUAUCCUCGAACACUAUGCUCCCUGGAGCACAGCCACAGCAGGCUAGAGUUCACAGAAGGCUCCACUGACCACUCAGGAGAGAAGCAUACCUUGACGUUCAAAUGGGAAACGUUCAGAGGCCGUAAGAGCUUCUCAAAUCGGAGGGAACCACUCUUCUCAUUUCCAUCACCAUGGAUUUGUUUUGUUGAACUUCAUAUGCAUGGGAUCAAACAACAGAUCACAUGGAAAUAUUAUUUGCUUGAAAGUGGGACUCUUCAAUUAUCGACUGUGGGCUGUAGGGAAAUACAAAGACACUUUUCUUCCUCUAUUAUUUGGAAUAUUAAGAGAGUUUCCUGGACACAGGCCUGCAGAGGUAAACACGUAUGUUCCAUUUAAGAAACCUUUGCCAGGCCAGCC